Molecule: small nucleolar RNA, 68 nt
Organism: Trichomycterus rosablanca
Lineage: Eukaryota; Metazoa; Chordata; Actinopteri; Siluriformes; Trichomycteridae
Product: small nucleolar RNA SNORD58
Exons: 1
Source: RefSeq, a predicted model, not a curated record
CUGUGCUGAUGACCUCUUAGGACACCUUUGGAUUAAUCAUGAAAAGAACGACGUGUUUUCUGAGCAGC